CACUAUACCUGGAAUGGUUUGUGUUCCAAAUGAUUUAUCGCCGUAGGAUGGGACUGCGGCCUAUCAGUUUGUUGGUGAGGUAAUGGCCCACCAAGACUAUUACAGGUACGGGCUCUGAGAGGAGUAGCCCGGAGAUGGGUACUGAGACACGGACCCAGGCCCUAUGGGGCGCAGCAGGCGAGAAAACUUUGCAAUGUGCGAAAGCACGACAAGGUUAAUCCGAGUGGUUUCUGCUAAAGGAACCCUUUGUUAGUCCUAGAACCACUAACGAAUAAGGGGUGGGCAAGUUCUGGUGUCAGCCGCCGCGGUAAAACCAGCACCUCAAGUGGUCAGGAUGAUUAUUGGGCCUAAAGCAUCCGUAGCCGGCUCUGUAAGUUUUCGGUUAAAUCUGUACGCUUAACGUACAGGCUGCCGGGAAUACUGCAGAGCUAGGGAGUGGGAGAGGUAGACGGUACUCGGGAGGAAGUGGUAAAAUGCUUUGAUCUCUCGAUGACCACCUGUGGCGAAGGCGGUCUACCAGAACACGUCCGACGGUGAGGGAUGAAAGCUGGGGGAG
This 556-nucleotide ribosomal RNA is filed under the name uncultured archaeon. RNAcentral describes it as "bacterial SSU rRNA". It matches the Rfam family "Archaeal small subunit ribosomal RNA", at positions 162 to 719 of the family's 1478-position model. The record is from RNAcentral.